This 73-nucleotide transfer RNA is filed under the name Enterocloster aldenensis. RNAcentral describes it as "[Clostridium] aldenense tRNA-Met". It matches the Rfam family "tRNA". From Rfam's summary of the family: Transfer RNA (tRNA) molecules are approximately 80 nucleotides in length. Their secondary structure includes four short double-helical elements and three loops (D, anti-codon, and T loops). Further hydrogen bonds mediate the characteristic L-shaped molecular structure. tRNAs have two regions of fundamental functional importance: the anti-codon, which is responsible for specific mRNA codon recognition, and the 3' end, to which the tRNAs corresponding amino acid is attached (by aminoacyl-tRNA synthetases). tRNAs cope with the degeneracy of the genetic code in two manners: having more than one tRNA (with a specific anti-codon) for a particular amino acid; and 'wobble' base-pairing, i.e. permitting non-standard base-pairing at the 3rd anti-codon position. Lineage: Bacteria; Bacillati; Bacillota; Clostridia; Lachnospirales; Lachnospiraceae. The record is from RNAcentral.
UGCGGGAAAGAGCAAUCAGGAUGUUCGCUGGGCUCAUAACCCAGAGGUGAGGGUUCAAAUCCCUCUCCCGCUA